This 2700-nucleotide ribosomal RNA is filed under the name Clostridioides difficile. RNAcentral's name for it is "bacterial LSU rRNA". It matches the Rfam family "Bacterial large subunit ribosomal RNA". The record is from RNAcentral. Lineage: Bacteria; Bacillati; Bacillota; Clostridia; Peptostreptococcales; Peptostreptococcaceae.
UCAAGUUAUUAAGGGUGCAGGGCGGAUGCCUUGGCACUAGGAGCCGAUGAAGGACGUGAUAAGCUGCGAUAAGCUUCGGGGAGUUGCACGUAAACUUUGAUCCGAAGAUUUCCGAAUGAGGAAACUCACUUAGAGUAAUGUCUAAGUAUCAUUAAGUGAAUACAUAGCUUAAUGAGGGGAACUCAGGGAACUGAAACAUCUAAGUACCUGAAGGAAGAGAAAGAAAUUCGAUUCCGUAAGUAGCGGCGAGCGAACGCGGAUUAGCCCAAACCAAUAAAGUUUUCUUUAUUGGGGUUGAGGACAUACCACAUAUAAGAGGUCAUUAUAGACGAAGAAGUUUGGAAAAACUCAUCAUAGAAGGUAAUAAUCCUGUAGUCAAAAUAAUAAUUCUUUAGGUAUGAUCCAGAGUACCACGGGACACGUGAAACCCUGUGGGAAGCAGGAGGGACCACCCUCCAAGGCUAAAUACUACCUAGUGACCGAUAGCGUAUAGUACCGUGAGGGAAAGGUGAAAAGAACCCCGGGAGGGGAGUGAAAUAGAACCUGAAACCCUGCACUUACAAGCUGUGGAAGCACAUUUCUUGUGUGACCGCGUACUUUUUGUAGAACGGGCCAACGAGUUACGUUAAGUAGCAAGGUUAAGCACUUAAGGUGCGGAGCCGUAGCGAAAGCGAGUUUUAACUGAGCGUUCAGUUACUUGACGUAGACCCGAAACCGGGCGACCUACCCAUGAGCAGGAUGAAGCGAAAGUAAAAUUUCGUGGAGGUCCGAACCCACGAGCGUUGAAAAGCUCGGGGAUGACUUGUGGGUAGCGGUGAAAUUCCAAUCGAGCCCGGAGAUAGCUGGUUCUCCCCGAAAUAGCUUUAGGGCUAGCCUCAAGGUGAGAGAUACGGAGGUAGAGCACUGAAUGUCCUAGGGGGUAUUGCACCUACCGAAGACUAUCAAACUCCGAAUGCCGUCAUCUUAUACUUGGGAGUCAGACUGUGGGUGAUAAGAUUCAUAGUCGAAAGGGCAACAGCCCAGAUCGUCAGCUAAGGUCCCUAAAUGUAAGUUAAGUGGUAAAGGAUGUGGGAUUGCACAGACAACCAGGAUGUUGGCUUAGAAGCAGCCACUCAUUCAAAGAGUGCGUAAUAGCUCACUGGUCGAGUGAUCCUGCGCCGAAGAUUUCCGGGGCUAAAACUUACUACCGAAGCUACGGCAUCAGUAAUGAUGGGUAGGGGAGCUUCCCAUACGGGUUGAAGCAUGACCGUAAGGACAUGUGGACAGUAUGGGAGUGAGAAUGUUGGCAUGAGUAGCGAGAUGUGGGUGAGAAUCCCACAGGCCGUAAACCCAAGGUUUCCAGGGGAAGGUUCGUCCGCCCUGGGUUAGUCGGGACCUAAGCUGAGGCCGAAAGGCGUAGGUGAUGGACAACAGGUUGAUAUUCCUGUACUACCGAUAACCGUUUGAGAGAAGGGAUGACACAGUAGGAUAAGCUAAGCACACUGUUGGUUAUGUGUGCCCAAGCAUUGAGGCAGUCAAAGUAGGCAAAUCCGCUUUGAUAAUGCUGGGAUGUGAUGGGGAGCGAAAUUUAGUAGCGAAGUAGCUGAUUUCACACUGUCAAGAAAAGUCUCUAUCGAGGUUAAAGGUACCCGUACCGCAAACCGACACAGGUGGGUGAGGAGAGUAUCCUAAGGCCAGCGAGAGAACUGUUGUUAAGGAACUCGGCAAAAUGACCCCGUAACUUAGGGAUAAGGGGUGCCACCAUCAGGUGGCCGCAGAGAAUAGGCCCAAGCGACUGUUUACCAAAAACAUAGGUUUCUGCUAAGUCGCAAGACGAUGUAUAGGAGCUGACGCCUGCCCGGUGCUGGAAGGUUAAGGGGAUCUGUUAGAGCAAUCGAAGCAGUGAACUUAAGCCCCAGUAAACGGCGGCCGUAACUAUAACGGUCCUAAGGUAGCGAAAUUCCUUGUCGGGUAAGUUCCGACCCGCACGAAAGGCGUAACGAUUUGGGCACUGUCUCAACAACAGACUCGGUGAAAUUGUAAUUCCGGUGAAGAUGCCGGAUACCUGCGACAGGACGGAAAGACCCCAUGGAGCUUUACUGUAGCUUGACAUUGGGUCUUGGUACUACAUGUACAGGAUAGGUGGGAGGCUUUGAAACCAGGACGCCAGUUUUGGCGGAGCCAUCCUUGGGAUACCACCCUUGUAGUACUGGGACUCUAACCAUAGGCCAUGAAUCUGGUCUUGGGACACUGUCAGGUGGGCAGUUUGACUGGGGCGGUCGCCUCCCAAAAGGUAACGGAGGCGCUCAAAGGUUCUCUCAGUACGGUCGGAAAUCGUACGUAGAGUGUAAAGGCAAAAGAGAGCUUGAUUGCAAGACAUACAGGUCGAGCAAGGAUGAAAAUCGGACUUAGUGAUCCGGUGGUUCUGCGUGGAAGGGCCAUCGCUCAACGGAUAAAAGCUACCCUGGGGAUAACAGGCUUAUCUCCCCCAAGAGUCCACAUCGACGGGGAGGUUUGGCACCUCGAUGUCGGCUCAUCACAUCCUGGGGCUGUAGUAGGUCCCAAGGGUUGGGCUGUUCGCCCAUUAAAGUGGUACGCGAGCUGGGUUCAGAACGUCGUGAGACAGUUCGGUCCCUAUCCGUCGCAGGCGUAGGAAAUUUGAGAAGACCUGUCCUUAGUACGAGAGGACCGGGAUGGACGUACCUCUGGUGUACCAGUUGU